Molecule: ribosomal RNA, 526 nt
Filed under: uncultured bacterium
Lineage: Bacteria
Description: partial 16S ribosomal RNA
Rfam family: Bacterial small subunit ribosomal RNA
Source: RNAcentral
UGGGGAAUUUUGGACAAUUGGGCGAAAGCCUGAUCCAGCAAUGCCGCGUGUGUGAAGAAGGCCUUCGGGUUGUAAAGCACUUUUGUCCGGAAAGAAAUCCUUGGCUCUAAUACAGUCGGGGGAUGACGGUACCGGAAGAGUAAGCACCGGCUAACUACGUGCCAGCAGCCGCGGUAAUACGUAGGGUGCAAGCGUUAAUCGGAAUUACUGGGCGUAAAGCGUGCGCAGGCGGUUUGCUAAGACCGAUGUGAAAUCCCCGGGCUCAACCUGGGAACUGCAUUGGUGACUGGCAGGCUAGAGUAUGGCAGAGGGGGGUAGAAUUCCACGUGUAGCAGUGAAAUGCGUAGAGUGUGGAGGAAUACCGAUGCGAAGGCAGCCCCCUGGGCCAAUACUGACGNUCAUGCACGAAAGCGUGGGGAGCAAAACAGGAUUUAGAUACCCCUGGGUAGUCCACGCCCCUAAACGAUGUCAACUAGUUGUUGGGGGAUUUCAUUUCCCUUAGUAACGUAGCUAACGCGUGAAGUUG